CAACUCUGGUUUCUCUUCAAUCACGCACAAGUUUUUCGCCUUUUACUAAGACUUCCGUGGAGAGCAACGCUUACGAGUUCAACGUAUUUUUGGACGGGCUUUGCUCCCGGCAGAGCC
Molecule: small nuclear RNA, 117 nt
Filed under: Esox lucius (northern pike)
Lineage: Eukaryota; Metazoa; Chordata; Actinopteri; Esociformes; Esocidae
Description: U5 spliceosomal RNA
Rfam family: U5 spliceosomal RNA
About the family: U5 RNA is a component of both types of known spliceosome.
Source: Rfam by way of RNAcentral